RNAcentral lists this long non-coding RNA (803 nucleotides) under Mytilus galloprovincialis (Mediterranean mussel). The record is from RNAcentral. Lineage: Eukaryota; Metazoa; Mollusca; Bivalvia; Mytilida; Mytilidae.
AAAGGGUCUAAAGUAAAUACUUUGACAAAAUUUUAUGAAAAUUAAACGAGCCAAAUUAAUUUUAGUGAAAGUGUUGGGUACCACCUUAAUAACAAUUAUAAUUGCUCUUUAUUUUGGAUAGAUUAUCAUAAAAAGGAAUUAUGUUGCUGUAUAUUAGUUAUUAUAAGAAGAAUGAAUUUAACAUGUGAUCAGAAUCUUUCUCAGUAUGGUUAUGAGAUGUACUAUUUGUUGUUCAGAUUCGGUGUAGUCGUUAAUAGAACAAAUAUUAGUCAUUAUAAUGACACCAUUUCUCUUUUGAUUUUUAUCUCAAAAAGAAGCAUUAAAUAAUUUGUCUGCUACAUUAAUUCCAUAUUUGAUUUAAGUUGUUAUAAUUUUAACACGAUCAUAAAUUUUUCAUUCCUUAAUUUACUCUGCUAAUUUAAUUAUUUUAAUUUGUUGGUUUAGAUAUGAUGCUUUAAAUUCAAAUAAUUGAUUAAGAAAAUCAUCGUUUAUAGUAUUAUAAUAAAACUGAAUAGAAUCUAUAAAAUAUAAUAUGCAGAUGAUUUUCAUAUUGCUACAUUGCUAGAGAAAUUACUUCAAAAACUUUUUCUUAAAGCCACCAUUUUACUAUAGGAAGCGAUAUCACAUACAUAGCACUAGAUAUGGUCAUACGAUCAUGUUGUUAAUGUACUACAAUGUAUGUACUAUAUAAGUAAUUUUGUUACUGUAUUUGUUUUAUACCUGUGAUAUUUUCAACCUAGACUGUGAUUAAUUAGUUUAAUUUUUUAGUUUAAUUUAUUCAGUUUAUUGAAUUGUGAUUUUAC